Dipodomys ordii (Ord's kangaroo rat) is the source of this 73-nucleotide non-coding RNA. NCBI's taxonomy places the organism in Eukaryota, Metazoa, Chordata, Mammalia, Rodentia, Heteromyidae. The record is from Rfam.
GGGAAGGUAGCUCAGUGGUAGAGUGCUUGUCUCCCAUGCAUGAGGCCCUGGGUUCGAUUCCUCAGCACCACCU